Molecule: long non-coding RNA, 284 nt
Filed under: Capsicum annuum
Lineage: Eukaryota; Viridiplantae; Streptophyta; Magnoliopsida; Solanales; Solanaceae
Description: long non-coding RNA (CANN_LNC021472)
Source: RNAcentral
AGAGAAAUAAUGAGUACUAUUAUAUCGAAUCAUAAGAAACACGGUGAAAAUACUUUUCCCGAACAACCAUAACACUGAAAAUCUCAAUAUACUAAAAAUCUCACAACUAGUCUGACAAAGCCUCUACUACUAAAGAACCAGAGAGCCAUUGGAACAGGUUCCCAACUGAUUUACACUCAACAGAAAAGAAAUAAAAAACUACUAGAUAAACUGAAUAUCUAAAGAUAACUGGUCCUCGAACCAUGACGACUCACCACUGUGGAGAUAUAGAUAAAGGCACUCGG